Molecule: transfer RNA, 71 nt
Filed under: Loxodonta africana (African savanna elephant)
Lineage: Eukaryota; Metazoa; Chordata; Mammalia; Proboscidea; Elephantidae
Rfam family: tRNA
About the family: Transfer RNA (tRNA) molecules are approximately 80 nucleotides in length. Their secondary structure includes four short double-helical elements and three loops (D, anti-codon, and T loops).
Source: Rfam by way of RNAcentral
GCAGUGGUGGUUCAGUGGUAGAAUUCUCGCCUCCCACGCAGGAGACCCGGCUUCAAUUCAGGGCCAAUGCU